Bactrocera oleae (olive fruit fly) is the source of this 1153-nucleotide long non-coding RNA. RefSeq lists it as uncharacterized. Lineage: Eukaryota; Metazoa; Arthropoda; Insecta; Diptera; Tephritidae. The record is from RefSeq and is a predicted model, not a curated record.
AUACACAAUAUUGUCUUUAAAGUUAUAAUAAAAAUGAAAUAAAAUAAAUGCUGAAUCCAAAAGGUGUUGACCGCUGAGAAAUGUCUAGUGUGCAUGCCUUGUAACGAAAAUGCAAACUUGUGUCGGUGUCAACCUUUAUUGUUAUAACGAUUUUCACUUCCGUCAAAAUUGUUUGACAAACAUAUCGUCUACACAGCUGAAUCUUCCAAUUACGCAAAAAACGAACCUGGAGGCUGACAACAAUCGCCUGCUUGAGAGUCCAAUAUAAGUAAAGUCCACCAAAAGUAUACAAAGACGUAAUUUUUGCAUUUGCUUUUAAGUCAGCGUACCUUCAAAAGUGCCACCGUAGAUCGACUCACCACCGGUACCGUUUCCAGCCGAAAAAUCUCCAGCUUGUAUCAUAAAAUCCUUGACAACACGGUGGAAUAUUACAUUUUUAUAAUGCAACGGCUUGCCUGUAACUAAACCGAUACCUUUCUCGCCAGUACAAAGUGCUCGAAAAUUUUCCACUGUUUUCGGUGCAACAUCUUUAAAUAAUUCAAAAACUAUGCGACCAACAUUUAAGCCACCAAUCGAAAUAUCGAAAAAACAACGCGGUCUAGUUGCAGCAUUUGCUGCGGCGGACGUUGACGCCAAUCCCUCGGCCACAGUCAUAUUCUGCACUUUUUCACUUCUUGAAUAUACUUCUGCUACAAUUUCACAAAAAAAAAGCGGUUUAAUCUACACAUUGGUAAAACGUUGGCAGAUUCUGAGAAAAUUUUCUUUUGCAAAUGUUAUGACAUUUGUGGAACGUGAAUUUAACUGAAGGGUUGCCAGGUUAAAAUUGGACACUUAAUAACUUUAUUCAAUAUAAUAUUAUCUAUUAUAUUGAUGAUAGAUGUAAAUGUACAUUAAUAUAUUCGUAUAAAAUACAUAUAAACUAUACCGUCUUUUCCAAAAUAGUUUUUAAACAGUUUUAAUUAAUUUAUAUUAUAUUUAUAUUUCCUUACAACGCCUUGGAUAUCAUUUUGCAUUUAACACUUACCACAACAGUUCCUAAAUCGGUUUGGUCCAGCGCUAUUCUAUAAGCCUACAUUCCACAAUACAAUUUCAAAACCCUAUAUAAAAUCACUUACCACGACAAAUAAUAUACCAUACAUAAAGCAAUUCCCGC